RNAcentral lists this long non-coding RNA (2436 nucleotides) under Triticum aestivum (bread wheat). Its description in RNAcentral is "long non-coding RNA (TAES_LNC020727)". Lineage: Eukaryota; Viridiplantae; Streptophyta; Magnoliopsida; Poales; Poaceae. The record is from RNAcentral.
UUACAACACUCUGUUUCAUAACUUGAUUACAGAUUUAAGCUUCCAGGCAUGCACCUAAGAACCAGACAUGGCACCAAUGAGCAUUGAUAUAUUAGCAAAUAUAUUCCUUAAAUUCAGAGGUGAUAAAAAAAGAACACCCAUUUAGUUACCAUUUCUACAAUGGUUUGGGAAUUAGCAAGUGUGGAAGUUCUAUUUCUGUAAAGACUCUUGAUCAAAUGCAUUUCUCCCAGAAAGAUAAAAUUGGUACCAUCAAGAGUUCAAGACCAUUGGAGCAUAGAAUAUCAUGAAAACACCUUUAUACUAUGGAAAUAAGCACCUUCUCCCCUUAAUACAUGGUUAUAUUUGUUCUUCUUCUCCUGUGUCAGAUCGUAAUUCAUUUAAUCAUAACCUUUAUAGUAUGGAAUAGUAAUAAUCAGGCUCAACAUCCGAUGUAGUUGGACUAAAUAAGGUACCAUUAGUUUUCCCAUGAAAAAUAGGCAAGCCAUAUUAGAUUUUUGAAAUAAAAAAGGCAAAACCUGCAGCAAGCAUGUUCGUCUGCAUCAUCUUGUGGUCCUUUAUCAUCGAGAUAAUACCCAUACGCAUAUGUGCAUUGCAGCACUUGUAUGCAUUCUAUGAUCUGUCGUAGUGAAGGAUGAUAGGGUAGGCGUGUCAGAAAAAGGAAGGCUAUAUUAAGCAUAGAACCAGUUUAUGGGCAUCAUAAGAUAUUUAGCCUAUGACCAAGCUUCAGGUAUGAACUUUAGUUCAGUCUCUGGUAUUCCAAGGAUAUCACUUAACUUCGUAAGCUAGAUGAGAACAAAUAGCCAAUCGGCAGCGCCGCUGAAUUAUGAGCCUCAAUUAGGCAGCGCCGCUGAACUCUACACCGUGCGAUCCUGCGUCAUUUAAUAAUAUAAUUGUAUAAGCAUGCUAGAAAGAAGCUAGCAAAUUAUCUGUUUAUCAUUCCUCUAAUCCUUGAGGCAUUUAGGCAGUCAGGCAAAAUUUGGAACUGAAUACUGCAUGCAGCAAUUUAAUAGUGUACCUAUGGAGACAAGCUAAGAGCCAAUGUAACAAAACACACAAUAGAUUUACAAAGUACUACAGAUCACCUGAAAGUUUGCCAAAUAACAGGCACACCAAAUUGUAAGCAGAGCUGGUAAUUCCUCUGUCAAACUAACAGAACACACGAGAGGAGUAAGCCAUUGCCCAGCAAAUUUACCUCGAGGGAUAGAAUAGAACAACUCCCGCAAAGGUAAAAAAAGAUAAAACAAGAACAGAGUCAGUCAUGAACAGAACAUGCAAAGGAAUAGAUUUACCAGCAUGGAAGAGACCUUUACACAAAAGAAAUAACUCACCCACGUACAUUUGCUUCCCAAACACAAACAACAGAGCAUGCAAUUGAAUUCAGUCAGCCGCGAGCUCGCCUUCUCUCCCGUGCUCUCCCCUCCCUCGGUCCCCUUCUUCCCUCCCGACCGACGGAGCCAUCCAGUGGCGGCGGCGGCGGUGGCGGCAUGGGCCUGAUGCGACCACGCAGCAGUCAAACAAACUUUUGCAAGAAAAGAAACAUUUCUAAUCGAUUGAAGUGUGACCUUAUUUCUACAAAGAAGGUGUAAUCUGUAAGCAUCACCAAAGGAAACAUCAGACGAACAAAACAAACGAAAGGCCACGAUAGGAAGUUAAAAAAUUGAAUUCAGUGUGCGGAAUAUAUGUUUAUACACCCAGACCAGAAUCUGAGAAUAUAGUUUGCAGCCAUAAAUGCAAUAAACGGAAGGAAAAACAUAAGAUUUGGUACAUCCUUGACAAACUAUUCAUGUGUGCCAUCUUGGCCAAAAACAUAGGAAAUCAUGAUCCUCGAAAUGAUAACUUUUGAAGUCCUAAAGCUCGCUAAGAUGGUUAAUAAGCAUAGAGCCAGAGUCAAGGCACAAAGAAAUAUCUGCAACGUAAAGCAUGUCAUCCUUUAUUUCUACACCAAAGUAUACUACUGCCGUAGUACUGCGCCGUCAAAUUACUAGUGAAGAAAUCAUUGAAGCAUGAAUCACACAAACCAAACAAUACUAAGCAAGGGAUAAUUAAGGUCUAAAAUGCAUGCACAUACCUCUGCUUAUAGAAGUGUCUCUUACAACACUCUAUUUCAUAACUUGAUUACAGAUUUAAGCUUCCAGGCAUGCACCUAAGAACCAGACAUGGCACCAAUGAGCAUUGAUAUAUUAACAAAUAUAUUCCUUAAAUUCAGAGGUGAUAAAAAAAGAACACCCAUUCAGUUACCAUUUCUACAAUGGUUUGGGAAUUAGCAAGUGUGGAAGUUCUAUUUCUGUAAAGACUCUUGAUCAAAUGCAUUUCUCCCAGAAAGAUAAAAUUGGUACCAUCAAGAGUUCAAGACCAUUGGAGCACAGAAUAUCAUGAAAACACCUUUAUACUAUGGAAAUAAGCACCUUCUCCCCUUAAUACAUGGUUAUAUUUGUU